This 571-nucleotide ribosomal RNA is filed under the name Cytobacillus kochii. RNAcentral describes it as "bacterial SSU rRNA". It matches the Rfam family "Bacterial small subunit ribosomal RNA", at positions 36 to 594 of the family's 1533-position model. The record is from RNAcentral. Lineage: Bacteria; Bacillati; Bacillota; Bacilli; Caryophanales; Bacillaceae.
CAGGGGGGGCGGCUAUACAUGCAGUCGAGCGAUCUGAGGGAGCUUGCUCCCAAAGAUUAGCGGCGGACGGGUGAGUAACACGUGGGCAACCUGCCUGUAAGACUGGGAUAACUCCGGGAAACCGGGGCUAAUACCGGAUAAUAUCUAUUUAUACAUAUAAUUAGAUUGAAAGAUGGUUCUGCUAUCACUUACAGAUGGGCCCGCGGCGCAUUAGCUAGUUGGUGAGGUAACGGCUCACCAAGGCGACGAUGCGUAGCCGACCUGAGAGGGUGAUCGGCCACACUGGGACUGAGACACGGCCCAGACUCCUACGGGAGGCAGCAGUAGGGAAUCUUCCGCAAUGGACGAAAGUCUGACGGAGCAACGCCGCGUGAGUGAUGAAGGUUUUCGGAUCGUAAAACUCUGUUGUUAGGGAAGAACAAGUAUCGGAGUAACUGCCGGUACCUUGACGGUACCUAACCAGAAAGCCACGGCUAACUACGUGCCAGCAGCCGCGGUAAUACGUAGGUGGCAAGCGUUGUCCGGAAUUAUUGGGCGUAAAGCGCGCGCAGGCGGUUCCUUAAGUCUGAUG